GGAAUAAGGAAGGAAAUUGAGGCAGACUUUGCAAACCUGAAAAAGAUCCAUCUCCGUGUGAUGAUGGUGAUGCAAUCAGUUCUUUAAGGAAAUUUAGCGCUCAAAGCUUCUGAUGCUCUGUAUGAAUUUCAAAGGCUACAGAAUCUGAUUUCUGCUUUCUUACACAAUGGAUUCUCAAGCAUUCCUGUCAAAAGGCCCAGGUCGGGAACACAAGAGGGACAUUUCCAAAUCUGUCUUGAUACAGUGUCAGCAGAGGUUAUGAGACGCUGGCCUUACACUAGCACUGACACGCAGAGCAGGCGGAGGGACAGACGUUACCUGCAUUACAUUGCAGGAGAUGGGCUCCACAUUAGCCGGUGAGACAGUCUCUACUCUGGGGAAGUUAAUAUGUGUGUGCAAUGUGAAGCUGUGUAUGCCAUGCCACCCUUCCCUCGCAGUGUCUGUAUUUCUUUAAACAUGUCUGCUGUGCCAGAUGGAAGCCCCCUGCCAUGUGCCCAGGAUUCUCCUGGAAGGAUUAUACCACUGCAAAGCCCCGACGUGGACAAUACAUCUCCAUCUCUGUUCUCAGACGACGAAGACGGUGAUUUGGCUACUGCAAUAACGGACAGAAGAAAAUAAAUAUUUGGCAGAGAGAGUUCCACACCUCAGCGUCCUGCAAAGGUGUGUGGGUGCUCAGGAGCAAUUCAGAAUACUGAGUGGGGAGCUGCAGAUGAUCAAAGGCCAGCGGCUGGCUCCAGCUGGUUUUAUCCAAGAGCCGACUCAGAGGGAUCAGAAGAGGGAGCAGAGAUUUCUUACACCUCAGAGCAGCCCCUGCUGGAGAUCAGCAACUCGCCCACUAUGAGCAACACUAGUGAAAAUUGUAACCGCAUGUGCCACAAUUUGCAUGCAGAUCUAGCAUGAUGGAAGCACUAUGGAAUGUGGACAGAACACAUAUUCCAUAGAGGACUUCAUCCCAGAGGAAUUCACUGAAAAAGGAGCACCUGCUUGCAAUACCUUGGAAGAACAAACCAGUAAUAUUCAGAGACCGAAAGAAAAAGGUGAAGAAAUGGAAGAGAGUGAGAGUUCUGUCAGAGAGAGACACACUAACUCCAUGAAACACUUGGAUGGCUCAAGAUUCAGAUACCAGUAUUCACCAGCACGUAGUGAGAUGGUACAAGCUAUACAUAGGCUCAGUUACUCGGAAGGAUUAAUCCAGUGGGCAAUGGAGUACCUUAGCCAGCAAGAUGAAAGGACUGGACAACAUAAGCGCAAGAGAAUUCAGUAACAUAACAGAAGCACAAAAGCAAGGAGUUCCAACCAGUGUAUAUCUGUUGAAGCUUUACAGUUAAUAAUUCAGAUAAACGUCAGUAUUAUAAAGUAAGGAGAAAAUGUACAAUGUUAUUCAACUUUAUUCAGUUAUUGAAUUUUGACAGGUUUGCAUGUCAAAGCGACCUAGGCUUAGUCAAAGUAACUGUUUAACAGGGUCAAGCUUGGUGGGUGUUGAGCUACAUGGCCGCAAGGAAGAAGGGCACCAGACUUGUCAUUAUCAUUCUUUAUAAACACCUAAAACAUAUAAAUGACAGUGAAAUGUGUUUAGUUUUUAAUAUAGUUUCCAUGAAAGAUAUGCUAUUGUAGCCAGCAUUGGCCGUAGUUUCUAACUUGUGUUAGAUACGGGGAGCAUUGUUCUUUAUAGACUUUGUAGAAAGCUUUUUUUCUGUUUUUUCUGCUUUGCAAGGGGUGCUAUUUACAGUAAAUGAUAACAAUGAUGUGUAAACCUGAGGAAUAUGUUGGUGCUAUAAAAAUAGGCAAUAAUAAUAUGCUAAAGCUGGCCACAAUGCUCCACAGUAUUGAACUGGCCCUCUGGGAUACAAGAAAACUCCCAGUGGGCCCAGGUGUCAGUGGGCCCUCUUGCUUAUAACCAUUUGGAAUAUUUCAUGUUCCAUGUUUUUGUAUGGGAACAAAAAGGCUAAAUAUACUGAAUGUAGUAUAUCAUGUAUUGGGAAGGUUUGAAAAUCCUGUUGGGCAAACACUCCUUUGGCUGGUGGAAAUAGUCCAUUCCUGAUGGGGCUGUACAGGCCCCACUGUAUGAUCCGCUGGACAUUGGUGGAUAGAAAUGGGACCAGUUCAAUGAUCUGCUCAUAGAAUUGACUCUGUACAUCCAUUUAAGGGCUCUGGCACACGGGGAGAUUAGUCACUUGUUACAAAUCUCCCUGACUAAUCUCCCCGAAAUGCCAUCCCACCGGCGAAAAUCGCAGAAGUAGCUGCGUAUGCCAUCCCACCACUACUUGCCGGUGGGAUGGUAUUUCGGGGAGAUUUGUCGCGGGCAAGUAGUCUCCCCGUCUGCUACAGCCCUUAAGAUUACAUGGGUGCUAAAACAGAGCUGAAAUCAUGAGAUAUAUAUCUCCCAGAUUAAACAAUGCACACAAAUGGUGUGGAAGCAGUAAUUCCUCUAAGAUGUGCACUCAUCUACUUGCAUGUGGGGAUAGUAUACUAUAUAUAUAUAUAUAUAUAUAUAUAUAUAUAUAUACUCUAUACUGUCGUGAGUCUAACUGCAGGGUGCAGGUAUGUAUAGUGUACCAGUCAAUAAGGAAAAAAGCGGUUUGCACAGUGGCAAAGUACCACAAGUCAUCAAAUGCUACACUCCUUAUACUAUAGUGGGGCUGUUUAUGGUGAACAUCAUAAUAUAUAUAGUAUUGUGCUAACUAAAAGCUUUGAACAGCAGUGAUAUUAAAAAGGAUAUAUGACCUGUCCCCUCUAGGAAACUGGUAACUGGAUUUAUUAGCAAUUAUUUAAUGACACAGGGGAAAGCUAUUGUUAUGCUGUUAUAAAAAUGACUUUCUCAUUACUAAGUAUUUUAUAAAUUGCAUUUUAAAGCAGACAUUUUAACCGUGCUUAAAUUAUGGAUAUAUUAAAUAUGUGAAUUUUUAUUACUGUCUUGCCAAUUUUUUGAUGUUCUCCAGUUUGUUAGACUUUUUCACCCAGGGUUGGUGGGAAAGACACUUAGACAACAUAUACUACUUUUGAUUGGUGCUGUUGUUUUACGAUGUUUGUGUUAUUUAAAAGCUACCGGAGCACAGGCUUACUUCCCUGUGCAUCUUGGUGUCCUUGGUGAGUAGGAUUCAGAUUUGUGAUUCUCUUUGUACAUUUACUUUUCCUUCUGAACAAAGAAGUUUCCCACACUCUAGAAUUUGCACAAAAUAAUAACUGGUGCGGGUCAGUAAAAGCUAACGCAUUAAUCAUCACUUAGAAUCUGAUUUUUAAAUCCAGUGCAGUGUCUUGGUGGACUGGAAUAUUAAUUAUGUAUUUGAUAAAAAUAUGCAGUAUCUGCUCGCCUCCUAAUGAUAAGGAGGGCAACACAGAACCUAUUUCUGAUACUCUCUAAGGGCAAUGGUUUGAUGUUCUGAGUCAUUUAAGUUUUUAUUUCUUGUUGGGGGAGAAUUAAAAAUAAAAAUUAGGCAAAGGUU
RNA transcript from Xenopus tropicalis (tropical clawed frog), 3443 nucleotides. RefSeq lists it as uncharacterized. The transcript is spliced from 8 exons. Lineage: Eukaryota; Metazoa; Chordata; Amphibia; Anura; Pipidae. The record is from RefSeq and is a predicted model, not a curated record.